This 500-nucleotide ribosomal RNA is filed under the name uncultured bacterium. RNAcentral describes it as "bacterial SSU rRNA". It matches the Rfam family "Bacterial small subunit ribosomal RNA", at positions 66 to 543 of the family's 1533-position model. The record is from RNAcentral.
ACGCGAAAGGGGAGCAAUCCCUGAGUAGAGUGGCAAACGGGUGAGUAACACGUGGGUGACCUGCCUUCGAGUGGGGGAUAACGUCCCGAAAGGAACGCUAAUACCGCAUGACAUCCUGCUUUUGGAAAAGCGGAGAUCAAAGCUGGGGAUUCGCAAGAACCUAGCGCUUGGAGAGGGGCCCGCGCCUGAUUAGCUAGUUGGUGAGGUAACGGCUCACCAAGGCUACGAUCAGUAUCCGGCCUGAGAGGGCGGACGGACACACUGGGACUGAGACACGGCCCAGACUCCUACGGGAGGCAGCAGUGGGGAAUUGUUCGCAAUGGGCGCAAGCCUGACGACGCAACGCCGCGUGGAGGAUGAAGAUUUUCGGAUCGUAAACUCCUGUCGAGUGGGAAGAAUAGCUUUCGGGUAAAUAUCCCGAGAGUCUGACGGUACCACUAAAGGAAGCCCCGGCUAACUCCGUGCCAGCAGCCGCGGUAAUACGGGGGGGGCAAGCGUUG